RNAcentral lists this ribosomal RNA (497 nucleotides) under uncultured bacterium. RNAcentral describes it as "partial 16S ribosomal RNA". It matches the Rfam family "Bacterial small subunit ribosomal RNA", at positions 28 to 507 of the family's 1533-position model. The record is from RNAcentral.
GAUGAACGCUGGCGGCGUGCCUAAUACAUGCAAGUCGAGCGAACAGACGAGGAGCUUGCUCCUCUGACGUUAGCGGCGGACGGGUGAGUAACACGUGGAUAAUCUACCUAUAAGACUGGGAUAACUUCGGGAAACCGGAGCUAAUACCGGAUAAUAUAUUGAACCGCAUGGUUCAAUAGUGAAAGACGGUUUUGCUGUCACUUAUAGAUGGAUCCGCGCCGCAUUAGCUAGUUGGUAAGGUAACGGCUUACCAAGGCAACGAUGCGUAGCCGACCUGAGAGGGUGAUCGGCCACACUGGAACUGAGACACGGUCCAGACUCCUACGGGAGGCAGCAGUAGGGAAUCUUCCGCAAUGGGCGAAAGCCUGACGGAGCAACGCCGCGUGAGUGAGGAAGGUCUUCGGAUCGUAAAACUCUGUUAUUAGGGAAGAACAAAUGUGUAAGUAACUAUGCACGUCUUGACGGUACCUAAUCAGAAAGCCACGGCUAACUACGUG